This 468-nucleotide ribosomal RNA is filed under the name uncultured bacterium. RNAcentral describes it as "partial 16S ribosomal RNA". It matches the Rfam family "Bacterial small subunit ribosomal RNA", at positions 28 to 507 of the family's 1533-position model. The record is from RNAcentral.
GACGAACGCUGGCGGCGUGCUUAACACAUGCAAGUCGAACGGAAAGGCCCUGCUUUUGUUGGUUGCUCGAUUGGCGAACGGGUGAGUAACACGUGAGUAACCUGCCCUUGACUUUGUGAUAACUUCAGGAAACUGGGGCUAAUACCGGAUAGGAGCUCCUGCUGCAUGGUGGUGGUUGGAAAGUUUCGGCUGUUGGGGAUGGACUCGCGGCUUAUCAGCUUGUUGGUGGGGUAGUGGCUUACCAAGGCUUUGACGGGUAGCCGGCAUGAGAGGGUGACCGGCCACAAUGGGACUGAGAUACGGACCAGAAUCCUACGGGAGGCAGCAGUGGGGAAUAUUGCACAAUGGGCGGAAGCCUGAUGCAGCAACGCCGCGUGCGGGAUGACGGCCUUCGGGUUGUAAACCGCUUUCGCAUGUGACGAAGCGUGAGUGACGGUAAUGGGUAAAGAAGCACCGGCUAACUACGUG